This is a non-coding RNA of Punica granatum (pomegranate), 81 nucleotides long. The record is from Rfam. NCBI's taxonomy places the organism in Eukaryota, Viridiplantae, Streptophyta, Magnoliopsida, Myrtales, Lythraceae.
CUGUGAGGGGAAUGAUGUACUACUAUCGGGCCUUGAAUAUGCUGGCAUUUCUUGAUUCUGCGUCUGAAAUGGACAUCAGGG